AUGCUGCUUAGCAAAUGAAGUAUUAUAAAUCUGCUGUAAAUCCUAACUGCUAAUGGUUAAAUGCACACUCCAGGGUUGGUUGCAACAUCUUAAUCUCAUAGCUUUAGAGUCAAAUGCUCCUUUAUCCAUACAUUCUUGCACAAGCACAUAUUAGGCUGAAUUUACAGCCUCGGUCCAUCUCUCAGCUCUCCCAGAAGAGGCCUGAGUCUAUCUGCUCAAGACAACACCCCUCUGUCUCCAGCCUAUUGAUCUUUGCUGGUCCGUCCCUCCACAGCACGUCCACUGUUCCUCUCUGGCAUCCCCUAAAAAAUUGCCCCCUGUUGACAUCGACUCCCCGAGGGGAACCACAUUCCAGGAACGAUUCCAUAUCUGCUCAGUGUUUUUCAAGAUGUCCGCUCUUCUUUUGUAACAGUGAUUAUGUAAAGGGUUGGAGCGCAGACAGCUGGAAAUAGCUGAAAAGAUGCUGCCUGUGGUUAUUAUAGGCUUGGGAAAGCUCGAGUAAAACUACAGCAAAGUGAUAGAGGUUCUCCAGAUAAAACAUACAAGGACUGUUCCACGUCGAUGCCAAACCAAACACAGUCGAGGCCUAGAUCAGAUCAGGUCAACCUGAGUCGGAUUCCACAUUGUGUGCGCUCCAUUUCUGGCAAAACAGGGUCACAGGAAGAGAGGCAGAGGGUUUUGGUUGAAAUACACACACAUAGACACACAACGUGGUGCAAACAGACGGCCUUGUUCGAGGCAGCAGGGGGCACGAGCUCUGAUAAUGAGUGGCACACAUGAAAAGGUGGCUCCUUGCUAGAAAACAAACUUCACCAGAGGAGCCGUUGUUAACAGGCUGACCUCUGAGCCUCUGAGCGGGCACAUUGUCCCCCCGAUGGAUCCCCUCUGACAGCCCGUCACUCAGUGCAACCGUCUCUGUCGGCCAAUCAGGGCUCAACGCCGGCACCCAUCUGGGAAAACUCCGCCCACCGAGCCGACUUGAAGAAUUUGGUGUGACGCCAUGUUUAGACGGCAGUGGAAAAAUGUUGCUGUGUGGUUUUUACUGAAGUGCAAUCACAAGACUGAUGAUGACCCGCUGUAAUAAAUAACGUAAUAUAAACAGAUUCAGUCAAGGAGCUAAUUAUAGGAUUAUACUAUGAUUUAUGCUCUGUAACUUAAAACAACCGGCCUCUUUCAGAUGCUCAGUUCAAGGAUACUGCUGAAACAGAACUUUCUCAGUAAUGUGCUGUAUAAAAGAAUAAGUUAAAAGACACAGCGGUUUGGAUCGGUAACACUUAAGCUUGAAGAGAUUUCAGUUUUAAAGUCUGCCAGAGCCGGUAAAUAAAAGCCGACUUCACUGUCAUUUUUGUUGGAUUGAACUUCAGUAUUUUAUUACCUUUCUGUUUACUGAAGUCUAAUAUUUAUACCCCUGUAAUAUUUCCCCUUCAAUAUGAAUGUCACAGAGACGUUAUGGCGGGAAUGAGUGGUCCAAUGGCGAUACUGGCACCAGAGGUGGUUACAGAGGAGCAACAGAGGUGAGACAGGAUCACAAAGCAAGCAGAGUGGGAGUGUACAAACGUGCAAAAGGCCGUCUUAACUGUGCUAUUGUGUGGAGGAAAUAUUAAAGGACUAUUGCCAAUGUUAAAACAAACUGCAGUUCUUCAAGAGUCCAUUUGAGGCUUGUUCCAAAAUCUGAGGAAAUCCCUAUUUCAGCACCAAACCACAGUUUGUAUGGGAACAUCUAGCAAUAUGUAAUGGGCAGAGUCUGGAUUAAAAUGCUCCCUUUGUCACCCCUUACUCACCCCUGAACAUUUUAUUGCAUUUAAACCAAGUCUGUAGAUCUGUCUGAAUAUUACUCACUGUACCUUUAAAUUCACAGUUUUUUACAAACACUCCUUUUGAUUGGGUCAAAGCUUGGAGUAUGACAUAAAUCUUAAAUUCUGACUGUCAGGUUUACUAUUGCAGCUGUUUGCCCGGAGGCUUAAAGUCCACCUCAGCUCCAUCUCUAUUUGUCAAUUUCCACCGCAUCGGAAAUGGCUACGAAAAGGCCAUAUCCGUCGACCGUAGCUGAUCGUAACCAUUGAAGUUAAUGUGUCCGUCUUCUUUCCGUUUCGCUGUGGAUCGAAGUCGGGCACAGACACAAAAUAAAACAUCCAGCUUCUUUUCAAAAUAAAACACUCCAUGUUUCAAGCAGAUCAUAUUUCACACCAUGCAAACAGGCGAGGAUAAACAAGUAAAAGGUUUAUAGAUAGCAUUUCAUCUUGAUGACACCAUGGAUGAGGAGAUGCUGAUUAUAGAAGUCUAGAAGUGGAUUAAGUGUUAGAUUAAAUGUUGGAUUAAGUUAAUAUUUCUGUUAUGGGGACUGCCAUUGUUGGGCUUCCAUAGAAACUAGUAAUAGAUUUCACUAACACAGAGUCCUUUGCUGUCUUAUUUAUGGCAAUUUUUAUUCAUUUUUUAAUUUUUGUUGUCAUGUUUGAUUUGGGUAACUAUGAACAGGACGAGAACAGAAUCUAUCUCCAUGUUUGCAGUUUAUUUUCAGGGUCAACCACACAAACUUCUUUGCAUUUAGUUCAGGCUGCAAAUCACCCAAAGCUGAAUUUUCUCCUUACAAAACAAGGUCCAUAUAGAUGAUAGGAACUGCAGCGUUGGGUUGUGUUGUCCUAUUAGUUUGUCACCAGUAGCAACAGCUUCCACAUUAACACACACUGACUUAAUUAAAUGUUAAUUUUUAUGAAGUGUUUUAGAGUUUUUCAGGUAUAUGAGAACUAAUUGACAAAUUAAACGCAUUGUUAAGAGUAUUUUUAAAUGUCAUGGGUUUGAACUCAACCUGUGAGUCCAAAUCUUUAAUAAGAGGAAAAUGUGUCAUGGUCAGAGUGAGUAAUGAAGAGUCAAACAAAAAGAGGUUAACUGAGGGUAAAAACAUACAAACAAAUAACGCAACGCACGCACUCGGACACCCGAACACACAAUCCUCCACACACACGAAAUCUGUAGCCUCUCCCUGAGGAAAUGCACGAGGAAUCUGUUCACUCCACAUUGUGAGGAGACAAAGGACAGGGAGUGGGGAUGACGGGUGGAGGUUUAGGUCUCCAGUUUCAGCUCCUCUGAGGGUGGCCGUGGGCGUGCAGCGUGGGAGGAGGUGGUGGGUGAUUGUGUGAUGUAUGCAGGGAGGGAGAGGGAGUGUGCGUCUUGUCCUCUGCAUGCAGAGUUUUCACGUGUCAGGAACACCAUCUCUAGAAUGAUCUUUGUGGAUCUGGUGGUACGCGGCGCCAGCACCUCCUUCCUCCGGCACCCACACUCAACUCCUCUUUCUCAUGUCAGCACCUGGAUGCCUCAGAGAUGGAUGUGAGGGUCCUUCGGCGCUGCUGAGGUUUCUGUUUCUGCACAAUAAAUGACUAACAGACCUCAAGGAAAAUAAAAGCCCUUAACUGUCAGCGAUCGUUUUUUACUGUCAGAAUAUCAAAAUAACAAGAAUGUGAAAAGGUGAAAGAGGUCAGUUAUAUUCAUGAGCCUUAUCUACUGCUGUUAAAGCUCCUCUGAGGAACUUUCAGUUUGGUUGUAAUCAUUUAUGUUUGUAUUUGUAUUGGCUUAAAUUGCGCUCAUAUGUUGAGUCAGAGUGGUAGUACAACUAGCUUGACAUAAUGCUAUGUUAUGACCGAUGAUAUCCUCUAGUGUGGUCCAGUUUGGACAAUGGAAAUGAUGUUUUACUUUGGGCUGUGAAUGGCUAACUUGGCGUAUAACCACAUGGCCAUAGCAGUGUGUUGUCUAUCUGCAAAGAGGACUAGCUCUGCAAACUUAAUCCAAAUUCAGAAAACCUGGAGCUUCUGAAUCUGUGAUCCUGUGUUUGCACCUUAAAGGGAUACUCCACUUCCUUCUCUAGUUAUACCAACUUUAGUAACGACCGCACGAUAGCAAUACACAGCGGUCUAAGGAGCCACGCACUCACCUCAACCAAAACACCACUCUAUAGCCACAAACAAUAUUCAGAACAGCACCUAACUUCAUCAACAGGACAUAUAGGGUCCCAGCCAUAGUACUAGCCACCAAACAUCUUUUUAGCUUUGUCUGAUUUCUUUAGCAAGGAGACUAAACACAACUCACCUACUCUCUUCCAGCAGCCGCUUGUUUGUAGGGAGAGCUCGGACGAGUCCAUCUCCAGAUGCAGUGGGGUGACGCAGCUCAAGGAAGAACAUUUAUGAUCAUUACUUUAUCAUUUCCUUGAAGUAAUAAUCAUCAUAUUAAUCAUUUUGCACUGCAGAUGCGGUAGUUCUUCUGCCUUAGCGGCUCAGUCUGAUUGUAUUUCCAUGAAGAAACCGGCAACAUUCAUCUCUCAAGGGGGUGUCUAACUCAGUGUGACAGUGUGUUUGACCAUAACUUAAUUUUAUGCUGGAACAUCCUUUUAACGAUGGCCGAUUAGUCAGAACACAGAUUUUCGUCUUAUAAAUGUACCACUGAGUUAAAUAUUAAUAUCUAUUAGUACAUGUGACCUAAUUAAUCAAAUUCACUUUCACAUAUGAUCCCGGCCAGAGCUAAAAACUGAAGGGCCUUGUGUUGAAAUCCACACCCAAAGGGAGUGACUGUGAAUCAGAUGACUGCAGAUAACAGCUCUAUUUUAUCAUUUCAGCUCUGUAUACACCGUCAACAUAUCACAAAAGUUUAUAGCUCUGAACAGGGAGUGUAAUGAACUUUUUCUGCACUCCUUGAUUGAUUGCAUCUGUGCAGUCUGCAGCUUUAACUUUCUUCCCCUCCUACAUAAACACACGCUGAUCAUAUACUGAGCACUUUUAUUAAAAAUCAAAACAUCCACCAACAAAAACAGGAUGUUUAAGCCGGUUUAAUACAAAGAGAAAGGGGGAGUUUUUUUUUUCUCCAAGACUUUUGUACAGACAGACGACCAGCUGCUGAUUGUGAAACCGGAUGACAUGAGCAACUGCGUUCUCCAUCCCAGACCGAGCUUUACAUGACCCCGAACUUCCCUCUCCAUAAGUAGGAACUUCCUCCAUUUCACAACAAGUCCUCUUGUGCCUGCCUCCCCUGUCUUCAAUCAGCAAACCAAAACAUGUCCUCCUGCAGAGCCACUAACAUCUGAUUUAGCAGUGUGAGAGCUUCUAAUCUGUGCUGCAUGGAUGAAAAAACUCAAGGGAUUAAAGGGGAAAUCAUUCUCUCCACGGCUCCUAAAACCAAAGUGGGUUUUCGCUGCAGUGCUGAUGGUAGAUAGGGGCUUUCUGUGUCUGCCUCCCAUUGUCUUGUUACCUUAUAAAUCUUCCACGCCGACACCUGAUACCUGAUAUUGCGGCCCAUUUGUCACCCGUGUUUACGUCUGGGAUGAAGAGUGCUGUCGGGGUUGGGACGCUCUCCACCCCUCCUUGGGUGUGGGCGCUGAUGGGAGAGACGACACUGUAAGCUUGGGGGGUCAACUCCAGGGUGGAGGAGUGUAGGGUUAGGCUGCCCUCAGGAAAUACGGGUCUUAUCAUGUCCCAGAGAAAAGCAGAGCCGGUUCUUGAGACAAUGAGUCACAAUAAGUGAGAAGGAGGAUUUUGUCAAGGAGCAGUUUACCGACAUAAGGAUAAAAUAACCUUUUGAAUGUGAACUGGUGAGCUCUCCGUAUUUGUUAUCUUUCAUGUCCGUUCAGAGGAUUUCAUUUGCAGUGUCAAAGAUCAAGUGGCACAAGCUUAACCACUGCCCCCUCUUUAAAUCUGUCAUUUAUUGAACCUAACCAACUAUGUUCCUAAACUUUGAAGAUGUUGGUGCAAUUUCUCGAUAUAAAAAGGCAUAUUUAUGUGAUAACUUGGUCUGAUCCCUGAGAAUUAAAAAAAAAGGAGGCUGAAGCAGCAAAGUUAAGCAUUAGCAUCACCACAGGUAAUUAGCAAAGCUGUGUAGUAAACCAGCUCCUUGAAAAUCCUUUUUAAUUUAGCCGUUUUGCUGAUCUGGUUCAAGCUCUUUGACUCUCAGCCUCUCCUGCAAAGAUCUUCUCUAAAACAGCAUUAUUUCCAGUAAAUUACCUGUUUUCUUACAGUACCUUGAUUGAAAAAGCUCUGUUUAGGGUGUUUAAUGAAUUUUAGGCAUGAUCAGUUGCACCCUGAGUCGCUCCUAUUUCUUGUAUCUAAGAGGAGAGACUGUACAUGUACAACUUUUAGCUAACCAGGGGCCUAAAUUAUUGUGUACCUGACCCUAAACUCUUACAGACUCUCCACAUAUCAGGGUGAACGAUAUGUGAAAACAACAGUGACAGAAAUUUCCACCAUGACUUUUCUUUGACCUUCAAUAACCAUGAAGUCAUGGUUCAGAUGAACCAUUCAACACAAGUGGGUUUAGGUAAUGACAUUUAAACUAUGUGACCCCUGUGAACCAACGCAGAGGAGCAAUAAGUGGGAGGAUGAACAAAAAUAUCAGAGGUUAAUGAAGAAGGAUCAUCUCUGUGAUGUCUGUACAUUUGUCCAUUUGCACAUAGAAUUAAUUUGUUCUGUUCUUUCAAAAUAAAGGUAACAGCUACCAAAAUAAAUCUCUAUAAAGAAAAAUUAUAAAGAUGUUGCAUGUCUAAAAGAAGCUUGAGACCAUAGACUGUACUUAGAAUGGACGCCAUCUGCCUCCCAGCUGGGUGAAGCCACUCCGAGAACAGCACCCUCUGGUGAUGGGCUGCAGUAUAGGUCAGAAAUCCCGCCUCCUCCAGCAAUCCUUAUGGAGUUGUGGACAAACUGUAGAAAUCUAUUACACAGAAUAUAUACUGGCGGCAGGCGAAACCAAGUUGUCCAUAGUUUAUACAGUCUAUGCUUGAGACUCUUUCGCUGAGCUUUACUAAAAGAAACGACUAAUAAUUCUAAUUUGGCGAAUAUUUGCAGAAAUAUGCCGAAAAAAGUGUUUUUUCAAGAAAGGGAGUGAAAUAUAACCAGAGCGAAUGUGAUAGCAGACCUUCAGCCUUCAGACACUUUUUCCUGGGGUGAGGUUGGAAAACAUGUUUUACAACCACUUUGUUUCAAGCAUUUUUAGCCCUAUAAACUAUCAGUGAAAUACCACGGCUCCUUCGGUAGAGUAGAUCCAAUGAAAACUGUACACAGUGAGGUUUGGGAAAGAGCCAGACAGAGCAGCGAGCGGGGAUUCGUUUCUGGGAAGAGACGUUACCGUGGAAGUUUCAGUCACCAAACAAUUUGACUUCAUUAACUUCCAUUGUGAUUGGCUGGUGACAGAAAUCUUAGACAGAGACCCCAGAACCAGAACCAAUAAAAACCAAACUAUGUGAAACCGUUUGAGGUUCCACAUAGUUUUGUUUUUAUUACUUUGUGUUAUCCAAUGAACUUGCUGUGCUGUAAAGCACUAACCAUAUCUCAGAUCUCUGCAGUGCAAUCUGCAUAACCUUGUUUAUUCAGCAGCCCCUGCACCACCCCUCCACUCCGCCUUUUGCACUCCAUCCAGGCCUGACACACAAUAACCCUCAAUGCCAGUGCAUCAGUAAAUACUCGCAGGCUCUCUGGCAUAAAGAAAAUAGCCGUGCAGGGAGAAGAAAGGAAAGAAUGGAGGAGGGAGGGGAGCAAGAAAAGAAGCGGGGCAGAGAAAAGAUUAGGCUCUGGAGAAGUACAACUUUCCAAAGCUGGCUCGGUUCUUGGCAGAAGGCCAGGACAGGGAGACAAUGCAACGCUGUGCAGAUCCAGGAAUCUAUAGACGCUCACUGGAGCAUUGCGCUAUUGGUGGGAGGGUUACGGAGGGAGGGAGGGGAGGAGGGCUCUGUUUUCCAAAGCCAAGCACAGAGGACAUGAUGGGGCUUUGUGGUGGCCGGUAAGCCAGUAGGGGAGCUUGGUUGAAUCGGAGCAGCAGAAUUAGCAAUGCAGUCACAACGUACAGAAAAUAUUGACCUGACAGACUUCACCGGGGGAUGUAUAGGGCCUUACAGUCCUGCCUGGCCCCCCUUGUAAACUCCCACCCUUAUAGCAAACCAAAGCCUCCCAUCCUUGAGCCUCCAUAUCCCAAGCUCAAGUCUGGUCUUGGCAGCACCUGCUCUGUGUCAGUGUAGAGAUGAGGGGACCGAGCAAUAUACUGAAAACAAUCUGUCAAAGGGCCAUCUCAGUGUGGCCCCCGGGCCUUUUAAUAAGGACGGACAAGAGGAAUAAUAUAACAACUGAUUUCUGUUUCCCCUCCUCGCUUUGUGGUCCAUCUUCCAGCCCUCUCCUCACUUCAUUACAUUUUCAUUCAUUUCAAUCAGUGUUUCAUUUCCUUUCUCUCCUCUCGGCCCUCUUGGCGGUACGUGGAGGGUCGAGGUUAAUACUGGAAAAAAAGGAGGCGAGGGAAGAGGAGAGGAAGGAGGAAGAGGAAGAGGGAUGGAGGAGACAGAGAGGUGCACCCCUCUAAGAUCAAAGGCUCCCAUUGUGAGGACUGUACAAUGGACGACUGCAUAGAGUAUGCUCAGACGGACCCCCUCCCUCUGCUGCUCUGGACCCCCCCACAGGCCAACUGACAGCAGAGCUGGGUGGGAGCAUCGGGGGUAAUUGGAGGAAUGAGUGGUACUGUGUACAGUGGAGUACAGUUCUUUCACACAUUAACACAGAUUUAAACCAAAAACGCCAGAGUAGGGUCAAUUUGAUCUCUGGAGCUCAUUUUAAACCAACCCAAACUGACCAAAGUCCAGUCUGUGCUACUGUAGUGACAAAAAGACCGCCUACAUGGAAGUGGUCCCGCUCCAAUGUUGGUAUAAAAAGCUUAUAAAAGUUUAAAAAUAUAUAUAAAGGCUGUUCUUUAAAGAUACGAGUGAAUACCUGCUCCAUUUCUACCACGCUUGCUUUGGUAAAUGCUGUUAAACACAACUCACUGUACCUUUCUGAACAGAUUUAUAAGAGGACACCCACUUGUCUUGUCAAACAUCCCCAGGCGGGGAGUUCCACAGCUGUUAAAGCCUGAAUUGCAAAUGCUCAGUCACCUCAUUUGACUGGUUCACAUUUGCAGUAGGAACCACGAGGAGGGCCUUCAAAGAAGACCUGAGGGCAGCACUCAGACUCAUGGGGAGUUAGCAGCUCACAGAUACAGGCUGGUGCCUGGUCAUUUAAGGCUCCAAAAACAAGCUGUAAAAGUCUUCCAAUCAAUUCUUAAACUCACUGGUAGCCGGUGAAGGGCAGCGAGGGAUACAGUGUUAUAUGAUCUCCUCUCUUGCUAUGUGUUAAAAGCCUGGCAGCGAGGUUUUGAAUUACAUGAAGUCUUUAGAUGUUCUUGCUGAUGUCAAAAUAAAGUGUAUUGCAAUAGUCAAGGCUUGAGGACUUUUGCUAUGUCAGUGGGGAAAAUACAAGAACUGAGUUUAGUCUGUUUUCCCAACCCAGCAAAAUAAAACUGCAAAACUUUGGCCACUAAAGAAUCACAGGAAAAAUUGAAAUAAAAAAAAUACUUUCUAGGUUUCGGGCCUGUGUGCUAGGGUGACCAUACGUCCUCUUUUACCCAGACAAGUCCUUUUAUUGGGGGGCUGUCCGGCCUGGUCCGGCUUUCUAAAAUCCUUCAAAUGUCUGUAGUUUUGUUCGGAAGUUUCCAGUUUGUGUUGCGUGGACUUUCUGAGUCAGACGCGCGUAAAAGACACUCGAUCUGACCUGAAGAACUCUCAAAAUGAACUUCGUAAGACUUCAUGACUCCACCCCUGCGUAGUCGUGUCCUCAGAAUAUAGUCACCCUAUCUUUGCUGCAUUAAUAGAUAAGGCACCCAGGCUGGAGAAUGGAUUAUUAACGUAACUAGAGCAGAGAUAGUAACGACCAUAACAUCAGAGUAUGAGUCAUUAAGAAUCAAUUUAGGGAAAUUUUAAUCUUGAUUUCAACCAGACAGCAAAGUAUCAGAAACAACAGAAAGUGCCAGACUAGAAGCAUAGACACAUAGACCUGAGUGUCAUCUGCAUAGCAGUGAAAAGCCAAACCAUUGCCCCAGUGGAAGCAUGUUAACAGUGAAUGAAAGGGGACCCAAAAUAGAGCCCUGAGGUACCCCACAAGAGAGUGGUGGCAUUUCCAAGCAUUUUAAAGGAAGACCUGUUGGACAGACGGGAAACUAAACAGUCUGAAAUACUAACCCAAUGCUAACCCAACAUAGAAAAGGUUUUUGCAAAACCUGUGAAGCAGUUAAUAUUUAUCCAAAAAAGUAAUCUUACAUCCUUUACACUUCAUAUGAUACAUCUGGAGACGCUUAAAUGCUGUUUUGUGUAAAAAUACAAAAAGAACGUUUUUAAUCCUUCACUUUUUAGACAAAUAAGCAGAAAUGUGUUUGUUGUAGUGCACAACUCUUUUUGUAUACUGGAAAUAUGUGACCUUUAAACAACACAACUUUGCUGUUUGUAUGAAUUAUAAAACUAUAGAGGAAUUAAAUUGAUCGAACCGUUCAUAGUGACGCAAAUGGAAAAACACAAACCGCAAAUAAAAAAAGGGAAACUAAGCUUACAUUAGAUAUUCAUGACAUAAGAAGAAAUUCUCUUUGCAGAUAACAGGAGUUUUUUUAUUUCUUUCACUGUCGCAUGAGCUGCGGUGAGAGUGAAACCACAAUCUCAAGCUGUGAGGAGACUUGACAUACAAUAUCCUGCUUUGAUACAAGCAGCAAACCAAGUGUUGUGAGCUGCCCCGUGUUGAAGAUGCAAUAACAGAUUAACCAAAGUGUCAACGCUCGCAGACGCUUGAUAAGACGGGGAAAAAAAGUCCCCGAAUAUCCCCCACAGAGGUGAGCUGGCAGUUGGCGUUGUGCUCUUACAGCUGUAACCAAUGGAUGACCUCAAGGCUGAGCUGCACAUUCGCACAAUGGGAAGAAACAAAAACUCCUUCAUGCCUCAAAAGAAGGUCCCGCAGCUUUAAGAUGUUCCCCUCUUUUAGUUUUACUUUGUUGAGCUCAAGUGCACUCGUAAUUAUUGCCCUCUUGUUAGUUCUUCUUUAUGGAGCUAACUCCUUUUUUUACCUUUGCUUCCCUCCUCCUUUCCUCCCUUCGUCCCUCCUCCUUCUCUAAGCCUGCGGGGCUUAUCUGUGGGGAUGAGGGAGAGAGGAGAAUGGGGAAGACAGGCACUUUCAUGGCUGAGUUGGAAGCCAUUAGCCCCCUGUGUGCUCGGCCCAGCUCUACCUCCUCUCAGUAUUAAUCUGCAGUGACAGCUUCACUGUUUACCAAAUCCACCCAGGAUCCUGGGGGAUGACUGGCCGGCGCCACUCUGCUCCAUUAACCUCUGACCUCCAGCGUUACGGCACCAGAGCCAGGCCCGGGGCUCGGGGUUAGCUGGCCUGAGCAACCGGUCGGACACCUGUCUGAGACAGAACUCCAAACAAUCUGUGCAAAAAGAUGUGUCUCAGCUGGACUUGGAGGGGUUGAAUAAUCCACAGUCACGGCUCUCUUACCUCCUUCUUUGGUCCUUUUUAGUUACAACUCCCCAAAUAAGAAGAAAACUUACAUGUGUGGGAGUAAAGUUCAUUUAAAACAGAUUUUUCCCAAACCAAUUGUUAUUAUGUAACUGACAACACUGACAGGUGAAGUGAUUUCAACUCUGCAUCUCAUGGGUGAAGUUAAUGAAUGAGGUUGUACUUUGUAGAUGCAUCCCUGCCUGUGCAGAGAGACCUAUAAAGACAGCCUGGGCCUGAAAUAUCUUAAAACAAGAUUUAUAUUUGGACUUUGUCAGGUCAGUAUAUCUCAUACAAAUGUGAUGAAAUGCUUUGACUGGAGAAACGAGUCAAAGUCAGUCAGUGGGAUUUAAUUUUAAGCUUUGUUGGGCUAUCAUGAUAUCAGAUUUUCAACUUCCAAUCACUGUGGCCAUAAAAUAUGUCAGCUAGGGUGACCAUACGCCCUCUUUUACCUGGACAUGUCCUCUUUUUUGGGAACUGUCCGGCAUGUCUGGCCUUGUAUGGCUUUGUCCAGGGUAGUUACUAAAAUCCUUCAAAUGUCCUUCAAAAUGGGGUUUUGUAUGGAAGUUUUGAGUUUGUGUCGUGUGGACUUACUGAGUUAGAAGCAUAAAAACACUCAACCCGACCCGAAAAACUAUGUGCAACUCUGUGACUCCACCCCUGCGUAGUCGUGUCCUCUUUAUGGAGAUUCAGAAUGUGGUCACCCUAUGUUAGCUAUAUUAUCACAAUAUUUAUCAAUAAUUUUAAAACAGAAUAACGCAAUUAUUCUUUGGAGAUUGUUGUGCUUUUAUUUUGACAUGUUUUUCCAUCUGUUUAGGUUGGUUUAUUAUGGUCAUUCUAAAACUAUGCUUUUAUUUUGAAGUGAAGAUAAUGUCUGGCAGAUCAGAAGUUACUAAACUGAAUAAAAACAGUAUAAGGAAAGGUUUAAAAGUAUAAAUGACCAUUUUAAUGGGAGCCUCAAGGAAGCACAGGCUUGAAAGUUGAUUGGGACUCAUCAUCUCUCGGGGGGUUGCUACAGCUAGCUAGCUAACAUCUUCUGCUUCUUCUUUGUCUCUUUAAAGAGAUAUUCCGGCGUAAAGUUAAUUUAGGGUCAAACACAGCGUAACUCUGAGUUAGAGACCCCCUCAACAGAUGAAUGUUGCCGACCACUUGCUUCUCUAGUUAUACCAACUUUAGUAACAACUGCAGGAUAGCAAUACACAGCGGUCUAUGGAGCCAUACACAAACCUCAACCAAAACGCCACUCUAUAGCCAGAAAUAAUGUUCAGAACAGCACCUAACUUCAUCAACAGUACAUAUAGGGUCCCAGCCAUAGUACUUGCCACCAAACAUCUUUUUAACUUUACCUGAUUUCUUUAGCAAAGAGACCAAACACAACUCACCUACUCCCUUCCAGCAGCCGCUUGUUUGUAGCGAGACCUCAGGCCAGUCCAUACGUACUGCUGCGGGGUGACGCAGCUCAAGGAAGAACAUUUAUGCCACUGUGUAUUGCUAUCCUGCAGUUGUUACUAAAGUUGGUAUAAUUAGAGAAGCAAGCGGUUCAUUCAUCUCUCGAGGGGGUGUCUAACACGGUGUUACGGUGUGUUUGACCCUGAAUUAAUUUUACGCUGGAAUAUCCCUUUAACACAUCUGUGGUAACCACAAUAAAGGACCACCACUAUGAACUUACAGUCUUACAACAUGCUUAUUUUUAGUAUACUAGUCAAUACAAGCAUACUGUUGUAGCCCUUCUGUAGACGUCAUCCAAUCAAACGGCUGCUGGCAGAUGAUCAGCUCAAUAGUUCAAUAACUCCGGGGGUUUCAAAUAAAAAAAAAACCUCUGUAUAAAAGGACGAUUUUAAGGUUUUUGACAGCAACUAAUGGGACCAACUGGAAAGCCAUAAGAAAUGAUCAGAACUCUGCUUGGAGUCCACAAUACAGCUCCUUCUUUUGAUUAUAUCCAACCACAUGCCUUCUGAUCCAUUUCCCAGGCUGACCGCCGCAUGCAAAGAGUAUUACUCUGCCCUCCUUUGAAGUUUCUGCUACAACCAAUCUCUGCUCAGAUCAAUCAUCUGUGCUGCUAAAGUAAAGCUCAGGGCUCUUACAAAACAUCGAACCUUUAAGCAAGAUGACUGCGCAUUACUUCUGAAUGUUACUAAUAAAAUGUUGAAGUCAUAGGUAAUAAAACACUUCAUCAAUUCAGUGCACUCAAGAGCCCUGGAGCCAGAGCUUAUCUUGUAUCAGUGGUAACCGGUCGAGGAUAAUGUCAGCUGUAAACACUGGCUAACUUACUCCUGACGUGCUAAGAUGUUUUAAAGUUGUGCUGUUAUAUUUCAGCUCACAGCGAUUGGUUUGUGGUGCUGUCUCCUGAUUUUAAUAUUCAUGCUCACUCUUAUUUACCAUCAGGACUUAUUUGGUUUUUGCUCAAAUUACUCACCAACCUCACCCUGCAAAGCUGUGCUUGUAUUAACUCUGCAGCAGAUGAAACUCUGACACAGAUAACCUCGCUGUUCCUCGCUCUUCUAAAACACAAGCGCUGUGACUAAUCCACCCGGGCUGAUCUCAUGAUGUUUACCUUGUGGUUUUUACUUGGGUUUACUCCGGGCCAAAGCAGGUCGCCGGACAACUGACUAAGCAGCGCAUUAAUAACAUCACAGCACAGUGUAAAUGCAGGGCUCUGAUGUUCCUGCUGGUGCGAAUGGAGAGCAUGUGUGCUAAGCAAAGCAAGAUGUGUGUUAAAGGUCAGCUGACGGCAGAAAGUACUCCAAAGAAGAGUGGGAAUUACACACCUUUUUCUGCUUUGUUUGUGUUUUUAAGUUCAUGAGGACAAACCCAAACAUCUGCACGGAAAUUUAAUGAAAAAGAGAAGUGCAAUCUGCAAAUGUUUGUGGAGGAAAAUGAACGGAAAAUAUAGACGAAUAGUAUACCAGGCCAACAAAGUUUUGUAAUUUAGUAUCUGCUUUUAUUUACUUAGUACCAAGCCAACACAGUCAAGCAUUAUACGUUCAUCCAGAGGGGAUGAUCAAGCUGAUGAGGAAGUGAAAAUAACAUCAGUGUGAAUGUUUCGCACAAUUUUAAUUUGCAAAACACGAGCUGCGUGUGUUCUUAGAAAAAGACGACAAGCCUCAAAAUCCAUUUCAAUAAUCUCUUCGGAGUAGUCGCAGCUGGAGAGAAUUAGCAGCAGCAGCUAUAGCUAGCAUUAGCACCGACUAAAUGAGGAAUGCUAAUGUGAUAUGCAUUUUUUUAGCUAUAGAAAGUUUACAAAACUAAAGCAACUUUUGUAAAAAUGUGUGAAUUUACAGCUUUUGGUGACCACUUUCAGCAACGACUACUGUGCAGACGUUUUCCCUCCCCUGCCCUGUAUGAUGUGAUCUCUGCACUCAUUCACAGUCAAUUUCAGCAACAAAAGUUUUACUAAAGACAUCCUGCAUGAAAGAGCAGAUUGAGGUAAAAACUCAGGCCUGGAGUUCGACCUCAUCCAAGGCCACACUGUCCACAUGAACCACUUCUGCUGUCUGGUGUAAGGCUAACACUGGGCUGUUACAGGGAGUGAAAUCAGGCAUCAAAAUCUCACUAGAAGUUGAAUUUUACCAAAAGCAUGGACACACAGUCAGAAGAUAAACUGUUACUGUCUCUACACACUAAGCACGAGUAGAAUCAUUCGCGCGAAUGAAUUACAUGUUAAGUCAAUGCAAAGACACAAGUAGACGCUCCUACUUCUCUGGCAGCGCGAAUGACGCGAAUUGGGCAGGAGCUGGAAAUGUUUCAACUUGAGCGGGUAUUCACGUCAUGAUAACUAAUCAGCACAAAGGCUGCCAGGUCACGGAUGGAUUUUGGAGGACAAACUGAUCGUGUCGGAGUGUGGGUGCCCCGAAAUUUUAUGAUAACUUUUCUUUCAAUUACCGAAACCGGAAUAAAAAGGAGCUCGCCUGGAGGCAAGUGAGUGAGGAGGUUGGAAUAUCUGGUACAUUGUAAAAAAAAAAGCCUUUGUCAAUCACUUGACCUUGCAGGUUGAAUUGGCAGGGAUUAUGGUUGAAAUUACCGUUGACACGCAAAUGAAGCGAGGAAUUCAUUCACGCAUCUAGAUUCGCGCGAAUUAAGCGAGUAGAUGAUUUUAUUCUUAAAGACUCACUUCUACUCUCUUGCCUUCUCAUAACCUGAUUUCUCAUCUGAAUUAAGUUCUUACCCAUUUUGCUAUCCUGUCCUUCCUGUCCUUUUUGUAAAGUAUAUAUGUAUAUUUUUACGUCAUCAUCGAGUAUGUUUUUAAAUAUUCUGAUUUUUAUCAAAGUCUGUUCCAAAUUUUACUGCCUUAAAGCACUUUGGCUCAAACUUUUUGUUUUUUAAAGUGCUCUAUAAAUAAAGUUGACUUGACUUGACUUAUUCACGCUUGGUAUGCGCGCCCCAUCAGACGACAUUUAAUGAACCAAACUCAGACUUUUUUUCCUCUAAUUUAGAAAAACUCACUUUGAAGACCGAUAAAAGCGCAGGUUCACAUUUCAUUUUUGCUUUGUUCAAUGCUUGACCUACAUUUUUUGCCCGACACGAUUUAAAGCCUUCAGACCAGAUAUAAUCAGGCUGAAAACUGUCAAAAGUUUAUCUCAUUGACAUACAGCAUGUUCAUUUGUCUUUGAGGUUUAAUCUGAGCGAUCUGUGUCCUGAAACCUGCACAGCCGCUCAAGUGAUGAAUUCAGAGAAAAUAAAAGCGAGCCUCUAAACAAACGUCUGGGCAUGACUGCUGAUGGUGCAGAUCUAUUAGUGAGCACAGUGUCACACUUUACAGUCAGAACCUACAUACUGACACAGGCACAUUUCCCAGCAGUGUGUUGGCUUGCUGCAAAGAAACAUGAGCAUGCACAAUCAGAGGAACACACACACACACGCACACACACACACAGACACAAACAUAAACUCCUUAAGCCAAGCCAAACACACUCAGCCUUCUGACCAGACAGGAGGAGUGACAAAGCAGCACACACUUCCAUCAGCAGCCUGCACACACACUCCCCCUCCUUAUUCGACCUCUGACCUCGAUGACAACAGACUGUCAUCACCGUCACUCCUGCAAGGUAAACACAACGUCCUACAAAAAACUCGGGCACAGACCGAGUCCCGGAGCUGAGAGUGUGUGCUCUGUCCUCUUCAAACAUCCAGGCCGUCUUUUAAACUUCUUUAUUAAACCUGCAUGUGUUCUGGUUUUAUCUGCUCUGCUCUUUAAAUAACUCACUCCCAAAUCCAGCCCACCUGCAGCCCCCACCAAAGCUCAGCCUUUUCUCAUUUUUCUGCUGAAUGUUUUUUUGGGGGGAAAGCGAGGUUUUAGGAACACAACCAGUGCCAAAAAGAGAAAUAUUUACCCAAGGUGACGCAAGCAGUGCCCUGCUAUUGAACUGGUCUUUGCUAAAUUUAGACGCUCUUCAGCCACCAGAGCAAAGUGCUGCACCCAUCAAGAUAACAAGACAUUAAAAGAGACCACUUAAACUGAAGAGCCCCUCUGCAGAUUCCUAAGUUUCCAGCGUCAAACUGCUCGGUGCUGAAUAUGCUAACAGCUCAUAGUUGUUGCCUUUUUACCUCCUAACCUCGCCUCAUCAUUAAAGGCAUUGGACACAAUCAGCAUGUGAAGUUUGGACUGCAAACACGAACGCAAACGCGGCCCUCCUGCCCGCUUAGCCGCUUUCCACAAAUCAUACGCAAAAUGUUUAUGGGUUUUUCCACAAAUUAAACAAAUAAAAAGCGAGGCUGGGGUUGGGUCAAAGGGGGGUUGAGCAAAGCUCUUGGACGGUGUGCAAGGCAGGGCCCGCAGCCAGUUUAGCCCCCUUCCUCCUCCUCCUCCUCCUCUUCUUCUUUCUCCUCUCCCAGGAGAACCACCACGCCACAGCCAGCUGGAAACCAUUGACAGGAGUUUGGGGUUAGUGAGCGAGAGAGUAGAGGGGCUUGAGGGAGAGGAUCAGGAGGGCAAGCCUGUCUUGAUGAAUCUACUUUCCACCGCCGAAGUAAGACCAGAAACCGAGGCGGAGAAGAACAAGUAUGUGUCAUAUAUCUGUGUCAUUUAUUUUCAUGCCGGGAGUGAGUGAAAGAGAGAGAGAGGGGUGUUUGAACAUCAUGAAUCAUCAGCUUCAUUUCCCGAAAGAGGCCUGAGGGAAAACCGAAGGGACAGAAAUCUGGAUUCUCUCCAAGCGGGGAUGUGUUGGUCAUUCAUGAAAAUACAAAGUUUACACCAGUUCAAGGAAAUAAAAUCUGCAUGAAUGUUUAAAGCGUUUAUAAAACAGCCUCCUCAGACGUGUAGGAUGAAGACAUUGCGCUCAUCUGAGUCAUUCAGCACUUGACACUUGGCGAAAUGUUUGUGCAAACCGAGCCUGUGCUGAAUUAUUGUAAUUUUUUGCAGAGAGAAAAAAAGAAAAAAAACGCGAGGAAGUGGUUUCAGAAACUUUCUCAAUGCUCAUUUCUUGAUGGCUUCAAUAAGUCCGUGGGUGUAGCCUGCUGUUUUGAGUUUGUCUUUGACAUUUUUAAGGUUUGAUUCAACAGCCACUUGAACUCGUGUUUCGUCUCAGACUCUGAAGAGGAGUUUGGAAGAAUAAAGAACAAAAACGACAAAAGAAUCCGGUUUGAGUCAUUUACACGCAAUUCACACUCGUAAUGAAGACGCGCAGCACGCAACUAACCCCCACAACGAGACACCAGAGCCUGAGCGGCACGCAGUUUUACCCAGUCAGCGCUGCGAUUACCAGAUAAACAGCAGACGACUUCACAAUGACAUCAGGCGUUAGCUCCGCGGCACGCUCCAACAACGCUCAACACUUUAACUUGCAAACAAAAUGAGUGAGUCACUGAAGAUGUCAGCACCAGUGUGACGAGAAUAUAUGCUUAAAGGGAAGUGGAUUUCAUGUAAGAGGACAAAAACACCUCCAGGAAGACGUUGGGUGUUAAAGUUCAGACAUAAAUAAGUCGACCUUGAUGAAAGUCUUGAUAUACUAUAUCCUUAAAUCAAGCAUGAAGUUUUUCAUUUUCUGCGUGAUCUCCUCGUUCCCUGGACUCCGUCUGCACAUAUGGACUUUCUAUUUUUACUUGAAUACCUGCCCCUCUCCCAUGUGCACAGCUGGAUUUUAUUUCCAUUGGUCUAAAGGAGAAGAAAAACAUGGCUCCCCUCCUCAAAGAUAAAAGUUCCUUACAGUACCCAGCAGACCCCGAGAAAUCAUAUUUUUCUCUUUAAAGUGCUUGUUGAAAAUCUGAAACUUCACUUUGACCUGUUUUUCCAAAUCAUGAGCGACUCCGGGUGAAAUGAGGGAUUUGAGAUCAAUCUGGUUCAUGUAGCUCGUAAACCCCUGAAGAUACGAGACAUUCAGAAUACAUCAUCCGCUUGAACAGAGCGUCUAUCUUAACUCAACAUGAAUACUGUUUAAAUCAAACAUUACUUUACAUCACACUGCAAAAGAAGUCCAGUCAGGGCCAUGUUUGCAUCGAAGGAGUUGUAUUUGGCAUGAGGCGCCUGUUUUCAGACACACAUGAGGAGCCAAGGCAGGCAGAGCAGCAGCAAAGACCCCUGGGGCACAGAGCGUUCGUGAAAAUACGAAAUUAGACUCAGCAGAAAAUGGACAAAGCAGUUUAAAUAGACACACACACACACACACACACACACACACACACACACACACACACACACACACACACACACACACACACUGUGGUGUUCUGCCUCUCUUACUCCAACACAACCUUCCUCCAUCGGGUCUCAGUUGCUACUCUGAUCAGAGGUAGAAUAACUGUGCGCCAACAUUUAUGACACAGUUCAGACAAAAUAUAGCAGAGGUGUAAAUGUCUCACUUUAAACUGGAAAAUUUUAAGAGUCUGAAGUCAAAAACAAAGGAGAAAGCAGGGCUCGACAGUGGGACCGUUUCACUUGCAUUUGCGACUAAAAAAAGAAGUGAAGUUAGAUUUAGGUUGGAUAUUCGACGGACAUUCAUCACGGAUCUACCGUUGUCUUCUCAAUCUCCAUAACCGGGAAUAGCAACAGCAGCGCAGUUAAAUCUAUUCGGCACCCUCGCUGUCAACAUCGGGUGUUGAACAAGGGACCGUCAAUAAAUUACCGAUUGAUGUUCUCAAACAAAGGCUGUUUUCCUUCAAUAGCUUCCAUGUCAUGUGACCAAUUGAGCUAAAGUUGAUUUCAAAUUAUAGUUCUAAGGUCGACCAAUAAGACACACAUUAUUUGAUCAAUUUUCAUUGUGCCCCUAAAGUUCUUUGUGUGUGCCCCUUGUGUAAAAAGUUAGUGUCAAUCCCUGUCUUAAAUCCAGACUUUUUAUUAACCUGUUGCAAAUUAACCAAAAAUAUCAAGAGAUUAUAAUUUGUAGUUGCAGUGUUUUAUAUGUUCCCUUUGCACUAUUUACUAUCCUAACUCUAUCCUGAAUCCUGACUCUACUCCUUACCUGUUAGAGGAUAUAAGCUUUUUUUUAUAGUCCUAUGACAUUUUGGGAACUUUCUGCCAAUCCAUUUGCAGUAGUCCUCUAAAAAAUAACAACUUUUAACAGGCUGUUUGAAAACUUGAAUCCCACUUCCCCUCAAUCCACAAAGGAAUCACGACACCAACCCAGUGCAGCAGCGCUUAAGGAAAAAGUGGUAUAGCCAAUAGGGAAACUUGGAUCAGGCCGAGUGUCAAACAAGUUACAUCAGCCCGUCACAUAAGAGUUUAUUCUCAGCCAAAAACUUGUCAUGCUCUGUUAUUCCUGGUAGAUGUAUGUAGACUCGCUUAAGAAUACAAAUAAGAUGGUUUUGGGGGAUCCUAUUUGUGGUUUAAACUCAUCGAUAGAUAGAGUUAUAUUCAGGAAAAAGUCACAGGAGGUCACUCAUCACCGUGGCUUCUGAUUUCAUGAAGGUCAGUUUCGUAUGCGUCGACUGUCACCAAAUGACUGCACAGUUUUAAAAAUAGACCGUAGUGAUUCAGCAGUUUAAAAUUCUGCCGAGUUAACCCUGUAAAAACCUGACAGCCUUCCUUGUGCACUUCCUCCUGAUGCCAUGGCUGUCGGGUAUUUUUCCACUGAAAGUAAACAGCAGAUCUAGUUUCAGGUGCAAACCACACGUGUGCACCUACAGGGGAGAACGCAGAGAUGAGCCGCAUCUUUGUGUUUCUCUGCGAAGUAGUCGUUUGGUGGUUCGCUCUAUUUUCCCCUUUAAAAAAAAACAUGAACAUGUAAUGAACAACAGACUUUCUAAUCAGCUCCCAGAGAGGAAGC
Non-coding RNA from Xyrichtys novacula (pearly razorfish), 20500 nucleotides. NCBI's taxonomy places the organism in Eukaryota, Metazoa, Chordata, Actinopteri, Labriformes, Labridae. The record is from the annotation of a GenBank genome assembly.